Molecule: transfer RNA, 91 nt
Filed under: mine drainage metagenome
Description: tRNA-Ser
Rfam family: tRNA
About the family: Transfer RNA (tRNA) molecules are approximately 80 nucleotides in length. Their secondary structure includes four short double-helical elements and three loops (D, anti-codon, and T loops).
Source: RNAcentral
GGAAAGGUGGCAGAGUGGUCGAAUGCGCCGGACUCGAAAUCCGGUAUACAGGUCUCCUGUAUCGAGGGUUCGAAUCCCACCCUUUCCGCCA